AGAGUUUGAUCCUGGCUCAGAACGAACGCUGGCGGCGUGCUUAACACAUGCAAGUCGAACGCGAAAGGGGACUUCGGUCCCCCGGUAGAGUGGCGCACGGGUGAGUAACGCGUAGAUAAUCUACCCCUAUAUUUGGAAUAACAAUUCGAAAGGAUUGCUAAUACCGGAUACCCUUGUUUGUACGCGAGUACGGACAAGGAAAGGUGACCUCUCCUUGGAAGUUACUGUAUAGGGAUGAGUCUGCGUACCAUUAGCUAGUAGGUAGGGUAAAGGCCUACCUAGGCUACGAUGGUUAGCGGGUCUGAGAGGAUGAUCCGCCACACUGGAACUGGAACACGGACCAGACUCCUACGGGAGGCAGCAGUGAGGAAUAUUGCGCAAUGGGGGAAACCCUGACGCAGCGACGCCGCGUGGGUGAAGAAGGCCUUCGGGUUGUAAAGCCCUGUCAGGUGGGAAGAAGUGUACCAUGGCUAAUAUCCAUGGUAUUUGACGGUACCACCAAAGGAAGCACCGGCUAACUCCGUGCCAGCAGCCGCGGUAAUACGGAGGGUGCAAGCGUUGUUCGGAUUUACUGGGCGUAAAGGGCGCGUAGGCGGUCUUAUAAGCCAUAUGUGAAAGCCCACGUCUCAACCGUGGAAGUGCAUGUGGAACUGUGAGACUUGAGUAUGGGAGAGGAAAGUGGAAUUCCCGGUGUAGAGGUGAAAUUCGUAGAUAUCGGGAGGAAUACCGGUGGCGAAGGCGACUUUCUGGACCAAUACUGACGCUGAGGCGCGAAAGCGUGGGUAGCAAACAGGAUUAGAUACCCUGGUAGUCCACAGCUGUUAACGAUGAUAACUAGGUAUAGGGGGUGUUGACCCCUUCUGUGCCGUAGCUAACGCAUUAAGUUAUCCGCCUGGGGAGUACGGUCGCAAGAUUAAAACUCAAAGGAAUUGACGGGGGCCCGCACAAGCGGUGGAGUAUGUGGUUUAAUUCGACGCAACGCGCUGAACCUUACCUGGUCUUGACAUCCCGAGAAUUUUCUAGAAAUAGUUAAGUGCCUCUUCACAGAGGAGCUUGGAGACAGGUGCUGCAUGGCUGUCGUCAGCUCGUGUCGUGAGAUGUUGGGUUAAGUCCCGCAACGAGCGCAACCCCCGCCUUUAGUUGCCAUCAUUAAGUUGGGCACUCUAGAGGGACUGCCGGUGUCAAACCGGAGGAAGGUGGGGAUGACGUCAAGUCCUCAUGGCCUUUAUGACCAGGGCUACACACGUACUACAAUGGCCGGUACAAAGGGCAGCGACACAGCGAUGUGGAGCGAAUCCCAAAAAAACCGGUCUCAGUCCGGAUUGGAGUCUGCAACUCGACUCCAUGAAGUUGGAAUCGCUAGUAAUCGUGGAUCAGAAUGCCACGGUGAAUACGUUCCCGGGCCUUGUACACACCGCCCGUCACACCACGAGAGUCGGUUGUACCAGAAGGCGUUGGGCUAACCCGCAAGGGAGGCAGGCGCCCAGGGUAUGGCUGGUAAUUGGGGUGAAGUCGUAACAAGGUA
This 1525-nucleotide ribosomal RNA is filed under the name metagenome. RNAcentral describes it as "bacterial SSU rRNA". It matches the Rfam family "Bacterial small subunit ribosomal RNA". The record is from RNAcentral.